UACGUAGGGGGCGAGCGUUAUCCGGAUUUACUGGGCAUAAAGCGCGCGUAGGCGGCCAAUUAAGUCAGAUGUUAAAUGUCUCAGCUCAACUGAGGCCUGCAUUUGAUACUGAUUGGCUAGAGGUGAGGAGAGGAAAGCGGAACUUACGGUGUAGCGGUGAAAUGCGUAGAUAUCGUAAGGAACAUCAGUUGCGAAGGCGGCUUUCUGGACUCAUUCUGACGCUAAGGCGCGAAAGCGUGGGGAGCAAACGGG
RNAcentral lists this ribosomal RNA (252 nucleotides) under uncultured bacterium. RNAcentral's name for it is "partial 16S ribosomal RNA". It matches the Rfam family "Bacterial small subunit ribosomal RNA", at positions 524 to 776 of the family's 1533-position model. The record is from RNAcentral.